RNAcentral lists this ribosomal RNA (917 nucleotides) under uncultured Cyanophyceae cyanobacterium. Its description in RNAcentral is "bacterial SSU rRNA". It matches the Rfam family "Bacterial small subunit ribosomal RNA", at positions 318 to 1250 of the family's 1533-position model. The record is from RNAcentral. Lineage: Bacteria; Bacillati; Cyanobacteriota; Cyanophyceae.
ACUGAGACACGGCCCAGACUCCUACGGGAGGCAGCAGUGGGGAAUUUUCCGCAAUGGGCGCAAGCCUGACGGAGCAACGCCGCGUGUGGGAUGAAGGCCUGUGGGUUGUAAACCACUUUUCUCAGGGACGAACACAAUGACGGUACCUGAGGAAUCAGCCUCGGCUAACUCUGUGCCAGCAGCCGCGGUAAGACAGAGGAGGCAAGCGUUAUCCGGAAUUAUUGGGCGUAAAGCGUCCGUAGGUGGUCUAGCAAGUCUGGGGUUAAAGCCCGGAGCCCAACUCCGGAUCGGCCUUGGAAACUGCCAGACUCGAGUAAGGUAGGGGUUGCGGGAAUUCCCGGCGUAGCGGUAAAAUGCGUAGAUAUCGGGAAGAACACCAGCGGCGAAAGCGCGCAACUGGGCCAUUACUGACACUGAGGGACGAAAGCUAGGGGAGCGAAUGGGAUUAGAUACCCCAGUAGUCCUAGCCGUAAACGAUGGUGACUAGAUGUGGCUCGUAUUGACCCGAGCCGUGUCGUAGCUAACGCGAUAAGUCACCCGCCUGGGGAGUACGCACGCAAGUGUGAAACUCAAAGGAAUUGACGGGGGCCCGCACAAGCGGUGGAGCAUGUGGAUUAAUUCGAUGCAACGCGAAGAACCUUACCAGGGCUUGACAUCCUGCGAACCCCGCUGAAAGGUGGGGGUGCCUUCGGGAGCGCAGAGACAGGUGGUGCAUGGCUGUCGUCAGCUCGUGUCGUGAGAUGUUGGGUUAAGUCCCGCAACGAGCGCAACCCGCGUCCUUAGUUGCCAGCAUUUAGUUGGGCACUCUGGGGAGACUGCCGGUGACAAGCCGGAGGAAGGUGCGGAUGACGUCAAGUCAGCAUGCCCCUUACGCCCUGGGCGUCACACGUGCUACAAUGGCCAGCACAAAGGGUAGC